Molecule: ribosomal RNA, 253 nt
Filed under: uncultured bacterium
Lineage: Bacteria
Description: partial 16S ribosomal RNA
Rfam family: Bacterial small subunit ribosomal RNA
Source: RNAcentral
UACGUAGGGUGCAAGCGUUAAUUGGAAUUACUGGGCGUAAAGCGUGCGCAGGCGGUUAUGCAAGACAGAUGUGAAAUCCCCGGGCUCAACCUGGGAACUGCAUUUGUGACUGCAUGGCUAGAGUACGGUAGAGGGGGAUGGAAUUCCGCGUGCAGCAGUGAAAUGCGUAGAUAUGCGGAGGAACACCGAUGGCGAAGGCAAUCCCCUGGACCUGUACUGACGCUCAUGCACGAAAGCGUGGGGAGCAAACAGG